This 64-nucleotide transfer RNA is filed under the name Dipodomys ordii (Ord's kangaroo rat). It matches the Rfam family "tRNA", at positions 5 to 66 of the family's 71-position model. From Rfam's summary of the family: Transfer RNA (tRNA) molecules are approximately 80 nucleotides in length. Their secondary structure includes four short double-helical elements and three loops (D, anti-codon, and T loops). Lineage: Eukaryota; Metazoa; Chordata; Mammalia; Rodentia; Heteromyidae. The record is from Rfam by way of RNAcentral.
GUGUGGCUCAGUGGUAGAGUGCUUGCCUAGCAUGCAUGAAGUCCUGGGUUCGAUUCCUCAGUAC